Molecule: long non-coding RNA, 107 nt
Organism: Sander lucioperca (pikeperch)
Lineage: Eukaryota; Metazoa; Chordata; Actinopteri; Perciformes; Percidae
Exons: 3
Source: RefSeq, a predicted model, not a curated record
AUUCAAUGUAAGAUAGGGAUCUUCAACAGGGGGUCCGGGACCCAUAGGGGGUCCUCAGAAUCAAUGCAGUGGGGCCUUCAAAUUAUUGUGAAUUUUUGUAAGUUUUU